Molecule: ribosomal RNA, 479 nt
Filed under: uncultured bacterium
Lineage: Bacteria
Description: partial 16S ribosomal RNA
Rfam family: Bacterial small subunit ribosomal RNA
Source: RNAcentral
GAUGAACGCUGGCGGCGUGCUUAACACAUGCAAGUCGAGCGAGAAGUUUUGAAAAGAUUCUUCGGAUGAAAUUUAAAAUGGAAAGCGGCGGACGGGUGAGUAACGCGUAGGCAACCUGCCCCAUACAAAGGGAUAGCAUUUGGAAACGAAUAUUAAUACCUUAUGAAACUUAACUAGUGCAUGAUAGGUAGGUCAAAGAUUUAUCGGUAUGGGAUGGGCCUGCGUCUGAUUAGCUAGUUGGUGAGGUAACGGCUCACCAAGGCGACUAUCAGUAGCCGACCUAAGAGGGUGAACGGCCACAUUGGAACUGAGACACGGUCCAAACUCCUACGGGAGGAGGCAGGGGGGAAUAUUGAUAAAUGGAGGAAAGUCUGAUGCAGCAACAGCGCGUGAACGAAGAAGGCCCUUGGUUAACAAAGUUCUGUUUUAAGUAAUGAAGACUGACAGUAACCCAUAAGAAAGCCACGGCUAACUACGUG